GGAGUCUUGUUAAAAUGCAGAAUUUGAUUCAGUAGUUCUGGAAUGGGGCCAAGAUUCUGCAUUUCAAACAAGUUC
This 75-nucleotide microRNA precursor is filed under the name Mustela putorius furo (domestic ferret). RNAcentral describes it as "miRNA (ENSMPUG00000021592.1)". The record is from RNAcentral. Lineage: Eukaryota; Metazoa; Chordata; Mammalia; Carnivora; Mustelidae.